AUUGAACGCUGGCGGCAUGCCUUACACAUGCAAGUCGAACGGUAACGGGCCUUCGGGUGCCGCCGAGUGGCGAACGGGUGAGUAAUACAUCGGAACGUGCCCGAUCGUGGGGGGUAACGAGGCGAAAGCUUUGCUAAUACCGCAUACGAUCUACGGAUGAAAGCAGGGGACCGCAAGGCCUUGCGCGGACGGGGCGGCCGAUGGCAGAUUAGGUAGUUGGUGGGAUAAAAGCUUACCAAGCCGACGAUCUGUAGCUGGUCUGAGAGGAUGAUCAGCCACACUGGGACUGAGACACGGCCCAGACUCCUACGGGAGGCAGCAGUGGGGAAUUUUGGACAAUGGGCGCAAGCCUGAUCCAGCCAUGCCGCGUGCAGGAUGAAGGCCUUCGGGUUGUAAACUGCUUUUGUACGGAACGAAAAGCCUUCUUUUAAUACAGGAGGGUCAUGACGGUACCGUAAGAAUAAGCACCGGCUAACUACGUG
RNAcentral lists this ribosomal RNA (482 nucleotides) under uncultured bacterium. Its description in RNAcentral is "partial 16S ribosomal RNA". It matches the Rfam family "Bacterial small subunit ribosomal RNA", at positions 30 to 507 of the family's 1533-position model. The record is from RNAcentral.